This 237-nucleotide long non-coding RNA is filed under the name Lepisosteus oculatus (spotted gar). RNAcentral describes it as "lncRNA (ENSLOCG00000021093.1)". Lineage: Eukaryota; Metazoa; Chordata; Actinopteri; Semionotiformes; Lepisosteidae. The record is from RNAcentral.
UGUGUAGGAUACGACCAGUCUGCUUAGGAAAGAAGAGUGGCAGUCCAGUGUCGUUCAGUUUCAGAAUACACAGCUCCGGGAUUAAACUACAUGAGCUGAAAGUUAGGGAACAAAGAAACACCAGCUAACAAAGUGUCAGCACAGAAAAGGGGCAAAAGCAUGCAAAUUAUAGGACAAGCAUUGUGUCACUUCUUGCUCCGGUGCACUGACUGAUUAUCAAGAACAGGUAAACUGGAC